UGGGGAAUUUUGGACAAUGGGCGAAAGCCUGAUCCAGCAAUGCCGCGUGUGUGAAGAAGGCCUUCGGGUUGUAAAGCACUUUUGUCCGGAAAGAAAUCCUCUGGGUUAAUACCUCGGGGGGAUGACGGUACCGGAAGAAUAAGCACCGGCUAACUACGUGCCAGCAGCCGCGGUAAUACGUAGGGUGCAAGCGUUAAUCGGAAUUACUGGGCGUAAAGCGUGCGCAGGCGGUUUUGUAAGACGGAUGUGAAAUCCCCGGGGCUUAACCUGGGAACUGCAUUCGUGACUGCAAGGCUAGAGUAUGGCAGAGGGGGGUAGAAUUCCACGUGUAGCAGUGAAAUGCGUAGAGAUGUGGAGGAAUACCGAUGGCGAAGGCAGCCCCCUGGGCCAAUACUGACGCUCAUGCACGAAAGCGUGGGGAGCAAACAGGAUUAGAUACCCUGGUAGUCCACGCCCUAAAACGAUGUCAACUAGUUGUUGGGGAUUCAUUUCCUUAGUAACGUAGCUAACGCGUGAAGUUGACCGCCUGGGGAGUACGGUCGCAAGAUU
Molecule: ribosomal RNA, 549 nt
Filed under: uncultured bacterium
Lineage: Bacteria
Description: partial 16S ribosomal RNA
Rfam family: Bacterial small subunit ribosomal RNA
Source: RNAcentral